AUUGAACGCUGGCGGCAGGCCUAACACACGCAAGUCGAGCGGAGCGGCGGACGGGUGAGUAAUGCCUAGGAAUCUGCCUGGUAGUGGGGGAUAACGUCCGGAAACGGGCGCUAAUACCGCAUACUAUCAGAUGAGACUAGGUCGGCUUAGCUAGUUGGUGGGGUAAAGGCCUCCAAAGGCGACGAUCCGUAACUGGUCGGAGAGGAUGCUCAGUCACACGGGAACUGAGACACGUACCAGACUCCGACGGGAGGCAGCAGUGGGGAAUAUUUGACAAUGGGCGAAAGCCUGAUCCAGCCAUGCCGCGUGUGUGAAGAAGUUCUUCGGAUUGUAAAGCACUUUAAGUUGGGAGGCGUUACCAACAGAAUAAGCACCGGCUAACGUCGUGCCAGCAGCCGCGGUAAUAC
RNAcentral lists this ribosomal RNA (407 nucleotides) under uncultured bacterium. RNAcentral's name for it is "partial 16S ribosomal RNA". It matches the Rfam family "Bacterial small subunit ribosomal RNA", at positions 30 to 526 of the family's 1533-position model. The record is from RNAcentral.